Molecule: long non-coding RNA, 1464 nt
Organism: Dreissena polymorpha
Lineage: Eukaryota; Metazoa; Mollusca; Bivalvia; Myida; Dreissenidae
Exons: 4
Source: RefSeq, a predicted model, not a curated record
UACAAAUAGGGUCUACGCGUCAAAAUGGUCGACUUCGUCAGAAUGAACGCUUAGAAAGUAUUUACAAAAAAACAUCAUCUCAAACGAUGUAAAGUGAACGCUACUUAUCUGUUUUGUAGAUAAGCAUACGAUCCAUUGGAAAACACUAACAUUUGACAUAAAAAAACGCCAGUGGAUAUGGAAAUCUUCAUCGUUUGAAAUAGCAGACGGCGUCGACCAAAGGCGAAAAGAACGCGAGAAAGUAUUAACAAAAUAACAUAAUUAAAAAUGAUGUCAAGUGAACGCUAAUUCGCUGUUUUGUAGAUAAGUAUACGAUCUAUUGAAAAACCAUAACAUUUGACAUAAAACACCCGUGGAUAUGCAAAUCUUCUGCGUACCAAAUAGCAGACAUCAUGCGGCGUCUAAUCUGAGUCUACGCUGUUUGCCAAGGCCGAUAGUAUAAUGAAUGGAAAUGCACAAACUCAGCAACUGGCAAGCAUAUAUGCAUUAGUAGAUUGUUUCGUGAUUAUUUAGAAACGACUACAUAAUUCUUUUGGUUCAGCCAGUGCAACUUAACAGAAAUAAGUAUAAUAGUUUCUACACCUGACAACAAUGUGCCAACUUUAUACAAGGUGACAACUACUGAACAGCUGAAGAUUAGUGCAAGAAUACUCAGUUGUUCUAGCUGUGUGGAUCUUAAGUGCAGGUGCUAUAUUCCCGAGGACACAUGCUUUACUGACCAUGCUAACGAGAUUGCUGUGAAUACUGAGGUCUCAGUCGGGGGUCCAUGUCCUGAAAAUUCUACAGAAGAUGUACCCAGUGAAAAGAGUCUUCUUAAGCCGGUUGAUGUUGUUGACGAGUCACAUGUUGGAAAGUACUGCAUGGUCCUCUACGUUUACGAUGGGCUAUCCUAUCCAGGGAUCAUUUUACCCGUUGACGAGGAUUACGUUGAAGUCAAAACCAUGAGUAGAGUUGGGCGAAAUACUUCAAAUAGGUGGUUCUGGCCUAUGAGAGAUGACGUACUGUGGUACGAUAGAAAGUCAAUCAUAACACUUCUUGAUGAAGAGCCAGUACACGUAACAAAGAGACACCUUAAAAUAAACGACGACAUUUGGGCUGCGGUUGAAAGUGCGCUAGAAUGAAUUUAACUGUUUAUAUUGUGCCAAACACUGCUAAAUUGAAUCGGACGCAAAUAAAUUGAUGUUUAAAGUUAAUUGUUUGAAAUCAACGUUCUGUUCAACUUUUGAGUUUUGUGUGAAUAGGAAGUUCUGCUUUACGUGUCGUUGGAGGAAGAUUUUUGAACUGUGAAAUCGAACAUAUGCAUCAGUACAUGUCAAAUUAACGGACUUAUAUCAGUGACAGCGUGAUUAUUUACCAUUGAAAAGUGUGAAAAUGUGGAAAUGUUGAAAUGUUUAUAUCUUAGUCGACUUUUAAUUAAGUUAGAAUUUACUUAUUAUUUCUGAGAAUAAAAUUUUGUGAAACGUG